Molecule: long non-coding RNA, 262 nt
Organism: Rhodamnia argentea
Lineage: Eukaryota; Viridiplantae; Streptophyta; Magnoliopsida; Myrtales; Myrtaceae
Exons: 3
Source: RefSeq, a predicted model, not a curated record
UGGAACUUUAAACUAAAAGGAAGUUAGCAUAGAGCUGAAAGGAUUGAUUAUGGAGCAUGGCGUACUGGGCAACCUGUACCAGUAUAAUAAAACUUUUACAGAAUAACUGAUCCGUCAAAAUUUUCCCUGUUCAAUAGGUGGCAGCCUCAAGGUAAAUUUUUUCAGAGCUGAGUUUACUGACAGUUUAUCUCUUCAUACAGAGCAUACAUCCUCAAAAGGAAAACUAUAAAAAAAUUCUGUUUCUCCAUGCAGGAUUAAGAGU